This is a small nucleolar RNA of Erpetoichthys calabaricus (reedfish), 128 nucleotides long. Lineage: Eukaryota; Metazoa; Chordata; Cladistia; Polypteriformes; Polypteridae. The record is from Ensembl.
AUGCACUGCUCGUAACCCAUUAUCAUUUUCCCCCGGUACUGGGUUCCAUUCCAGUGCUAAAUUAACCCAUCUUGAACAAAUAGUUUAUUGCUGUUUGCUGUAAACUUCCGUUCUAGUUUGGGACAGCC